Molecule: ribosomal RNA, 487 nt
Filed under: uncultured bacterium
Lineage: Bacteria
Description: bacterial SSU rRNA
Rfam family: Bacterial small subunit ribosomal RNA
Source: RNAcentral
GAUGAACGCUAGCGGCAGGCCUAAUACAUGCAAGACGAACGGUAAGUUGAGUAGCAAUACUUAGCCAAGAGUGUCGUACGGGUGCGUAACACGUAUGCAACCUACCCUAUACAGGAGGAUAGCCUAGGGAAACCUGGAUUAACCCUUCAUAGUAUUAUUGGAUGGCAUCAUUUGAUAAUUAAAACUGAGGUGGUAUAGGAUGGGCAUGCGUCUGAUUAGUUAGUUGGCGGGGUAAUGGCCCACCAAGACGAUGAUCAGUAGGGGUUCUGAGAGGAAGGUCCCCCACACUGGCACUGAGAUACGGGCCAGACUCCUACGGGGAGCAGCAGUAGGAAUAUUGGUCAAAUGGAUGCAAGUCUGAACCAGCCAUGCCGCGUGCAGGAAGAAGGCCUUCUGGGUUGUAAACUGCUUUUGCCAGGGGAUAAAAUUUCCAUGCGUGGAAAACUGAAGGUACCUGGUGAAUAAGCCACGGCUAACUACGUGCCAG